RNAcentral lists this transfer RNA (75 nucleotides) under Candidatus Woesearchaeota archaeon. Its description in RNAcentral is "tRNA-Glu". It matches the Rfam family "tRNA". Rfam says of the family: Transfer RNA (tRNA) molecules are approximately 80 nucleotides in length. Their secondary structure includes four short double-helical elements and three loops (D, anti-codon, and T loops). Lineage: Archaea; Nanobdellati; Candidatus Woesearchaeota. The record is from RNAcentral.
GCCCCUGUGGUGUAGUCCGGACUAUCAUACUGCCCUCUCACGGCAGUGACUCGAGUUCAAAUCUCGGCGGGGGCG